CUCAGCCCCUCUCCCCUCGCUGGGCCCACGGCCCUUGGGGGUAGAAGCCCUGAGGGAUGCUAGGUGGGCCCGCGGCAGGGGGGAGGGCCGGGGUCCCGGCCACCCCCGGGAGGCGGGGGGAGGGGCGGCGGGAUUGACAGUCGGUAAUUGGGUAACUGGAGGCCGCUUCUCCGGCCCGGCAGCCCCGCCACCGCGACGCCGGGCCCCUGACGUCACCCGAUUCGCCAGGAAAUGAACUUUUUAAUAAUCUGAGGAGGGAGGAAAGCCCUCGGUCCCCUCGGCUCGGGGGGCACCAGGCCAGGCCGGGCUCCGCCAGCAUGCCCCCGUCACCCCCUCCAAGGCCAGCUCUGGCAGCGCCACGGGAGCCUUCCCCUGCCUCGGCGUCCCGCCGGCCCUUUCUGUCCGAGGCCCUGGCGCAGGUAAAGGAGAGGGGGGGACAGUGGUGCAGAGGCCUGGGCCGAGGGAACCCGAGCGUCUCUGGCCCUUGGGAACCCGUCUGCCCUGGCCGCUGGCCGCGCCUCCCGCUCCGGGGCGCGCGGGGCCCUGGCUUCUCGGAACUCCGCUCCGCGGGAGAGGAGGCCGGCGCUCGCCGGGUAAGACGCACCGGAGCCGGGAGCGAGAGCUCGAGGCCCUGAGCGCCGAGCCUCGGCUGCCGGCCCAGGCAGGUGAGUGGCCUCGGCGCCUCCCGGCUCGCGCGCCCGAAACGGGCGCGGCCUGGCCCGGACCCGCGGUCUCUCCGUACGUCUGUUUCUGCUCCCUGCCUGUAGCUUACGACUCAUCAACGCGUAAAACGCGAUCGCAGCGAAACCUCCAGCCUGUCUUGCCGCCUCAGAGCCCAGCAGGGGCUUCUCAAAGACAACGCGGCACCGGGGACAAUCCCCGGUGUCCGGCAAGGCCGCCCCAUGGAGUUCAAAGUCGGGGAUGGAGCGCGGGAGGCCCCGGACUCGCAGGCCGGCCGCCAGGCGGUGAACGCCGGAGCCGAGCGGAAGCUUACCGCCGACCGCGAUCCCAGCGUCGGUUCGCGGGGAGACGGUCGUUCCGAGCUUUCAGGAGAGCAGGGAUUGUUGCGAAUGCGGGUCGCUGCCCUUUGGUCUCACUGAAGCUGUUCCUUUCCUUACAUGGGAACAAGAUUUUACAAAGGACUGGGGAAGGGCAGCAGCGAAAACUGAGUUUUCUAACGACCUUUUCCAAAUGACUGGAGACUUUCCGGUGGAGUGUGGCUCAGCGGUGUCUGGGUGCUUUCGCAGGGAGCUGGGAGUGCAGACAUCCAGAGCCUCAGCCCCGCGCCCAGCUGCCCAGGGCUCCCCCAUCCUGGGCAAGCCUCCUCCCCGCCCUUUGUUUCAACUUCGCUCCCCUCAGGGACUGUAAGUUCGCCCUCUCUUUGUAAUCUCUCUUCUCACCUUUCCCCAUGGGCAUCUAAUUGGCCAGCAGUGCAGGGCGCUCAAAGAAAUCCAUUUGCUUAGUGGCUGCCUUCCAUAGAGAUAUUUAAUUUGCCACCCAGUAGCCCCCCAGCUCCACUCCUGCAGUGUGACUUGAGGGGUCCUGAGGAGGAGUAGGGGACUGCUCUGGCCAGAGGGGUUCAGAAGUCUCUAAGGCAAGGCCUGAGAUCGGGCCUCAGCCAUCCUCCAGAGGGGCACCCCCGUGCGUGCGGAGCCCCUGCUCUUUGAAGCUCACUCCCAGCCCCGUAAACUCCGACACUCCCUCUCCUCCUGCCUCCCUGCUGCUUCUCUCACUCCCUGCAUGUUCUGGGCCUUUUUGAAUCGUAAACACCAGGGCCCAACAUUCGACGUGUGUCUGCACCCUGGGCCCAGGCUCCCGGGAGAUCUUGGGAGGUUCUACCCGCCACCUCCAAGCCCGACAGCGUGGAGCCCUGCUGAGACCUGCAGACAGUCGAGCGUGGUGCCCCCUCCUCUGCGAACGGCCACGGUUUGCUCUGAGGCCUGGCGGCCCUGCAGCCCGGCGAUAGGACAACGGGUAAAUCCGUUUCGUUAGAUGCAAUUUGUCUGCAAUUUGUCAACCCGGCUGGGAAACGCGCCCCAGACGCCCGGGCCGCCGCUGGCCCUUCCUGCUUCUUGGAUCCUGCCUACUCAUGAACGAAUCCCAGCGUGAAGAGCCUGCAUAGACCAGAGCUCACGGCCAGAUGUCCCCGACCCCCGGAGACCUGGCUUUUUCCAAAACAACGAAUUUCCUUCCGUGUUUUCCGGGAAAGGAGCGGCUGCAGCAUCCGGGGGCCCUGAAUGCCAGACCUUUCCCCUCGCGGUUGGGGCAACCUGGAGUUCAAGCCUGACCUCUGCGGAACGAUUCUAAAUGCCCUGGGUGUAGACAAACCCAGACCCCCGCCGUCUAUGCUUCCCGCCUCCCCGGAGGCAGAUCCCCGAGCCGGCGGCGGCCCCAUUCUUAUUGAAAUUCCACUAAAAGGAUUCCGACUCCGGCAUGGGGCAGGGGGGAGACUUCCAGACCCCAGGUUCUCCCCACCCGCACCCCAGCCACACAAGAUAAAGGGCCGCGGGGCGCGGCGCGCGG
Molecule: long non-coding RNA, 2523 nt
Organism: Bos taurus (domestic cattle)
Lineage: Eukaryota; Metazoa; Chordata; Mammalia; Artiodactyla; Bovidae
Source: Ensembl